This 164-nucleotide ribosomal RNA is filed under the name uncultured bacterium. RNAcentral describes it as "partial 16S rRNA". It matches the Rfam family "Bacterial small subunit ribosomal RNA", at positions 355 to 511 of the family's 1533-position model. The record is from RNAcentral.
UAGGGAAUCUUCCACAAUGGGCGCAAGCCUGAUGGAGCAACACCGCGUGAGUGAAGAAGGGUUUCGGCUCGUAAAGCUCUGUUGUUAAAGAAGAACACGUAAGAGAGUAACUGUUCAUACGUUGACGGUAUUUAACCAGAAAGUCACGGCUAACUACGUGCCAC